UACAGAGGGUGCAAGCGUUAAUCGGAAUUACUGGGCGUAAAGGGUGCGUAGGCGGAUUGACAAGUUGGGCGUGAAAUCCCUGGGCUUAACCUGGGAACUGCGUUCAAGACUGUUAGUCUGGAGUAUGGUAGAGGGAAGUGGAAUUUCCGGUGUAGCGGUGAAAUGCGUAGAUAUCGGAAGGAACAUCAGUGGCGAAGGCGACUUCCUGGACCAAUACUGACGCUGAGGCACGAAAGCGUGGGGAGCAAACAGG
RNAcentral lists this ribosomal RNA (253 nucleotides) under uncultured bacterium. Its description in RNAcentral is "partial 16S ribosomal RNA". It matches the Rfam family "Bacterial small subunit ribosomal RNA", at positions 524 to 776 of the family's 1533-position model. The record is from RNAcentral.